Molecule: long non-coding RNA, 176 nt
Organism: Haliotis rubra (blacklip abalone)
Lineage: Eukaryota; Metazoa; Mollusca; Gastropoda; Lepetellida; Haliotidae
Exons: 4
Source: RefSeq, a predicted model, not a curated record
UUCGUUUAUCAUAUAUUUUUCAUCUAACAUUUUGCAUCUACACAAUUAUAUCUUUCAGGAAGAGGAGACAUUCAUAGUCGCGUUGUCACAUACAUCCUUGACGAAGAAACAGACGGGGGCUACCAGGAGAUAGAAGAGAGAGGAUACGUUCAUCAGCGGGAAGACGAAAACGACGG